GGUUUCUGCGUAUUUUAUUAUGUUAUCUGGCAUUUUUAGUGGUGGUAAAUAUUCUUUUCGGUGUAACACCGAAAAUAUUGAUAAUUAGACAUAAAAAAAUCAAUACAGAUGGUUAUGAAGACAUAGCAAAAUUUUUAAAUCUAAAUCAAUCUGACUGCAAGUAACAGUAAAUAAUGCAAACAAAGGAUACAUAGCAUAUACACUAAAAUGUCAGUACACAUAGAAUUUGAUUAAAUUAUUAUUGUCACAUACCACUGCUAUUUGCACCAUUGUUAUUCUAAUUGCUAACUGCGCAUGAAUGGAUUAACGAGAUUCUCACUGUCCCUAUUUACUAUGAAGCGAAACCACAACCAAGGGAACAGACUUGGCAAACAGAAAACCCUGUUGAGGAUCAAAUGAGAGAUGGAAAUGGAAGCUUACAUGCACAAAUUAAUGAAGAUGAUACGAGUAAUCAGUUGACUGUUAGCUGAUGACUUUUUUUUUAUUUCAUAGGCUAUUAUGUUUCUUAUUUCUUAUGUUUCGAAAUUUUUGAUUUAAGUUAAGCAAGCCACUCUGUAGUUUAACGAUUCGCACCGAAGACAGUGUCAGACGGGGAGUUCGACUGGAUGGUACAUCUGUCAACGCAGGUGUCCUAAGGCUAAUUCAGAGAGAGAGGAAACCUUUCGUAGAGUAAAAGGGCAAAAGCUCGCUUGAUCUUGAUUUCCAGUACGAAUAUAGACC
RNAcentral lists this non-coding RNA (720 nucleotides) under Brugia pahangi. Its description in RNAcentral is "Eukaryotic large subunit ribosomal RNA". It matches the Rfam family "Eukaryotic large subunit ribosomal RNA", at positions 1956 to 2751 of the family's 3401-position model. The record is from Rfam by way of RNAcentral. Lineage: Eukaryota; Metazoa; Nematoda; Chromadorea; Rhabditida; Onchocercidae.